CGAAAGCCUGACGGAGCAAGACCGCGUGAGGGAUGACGGCCUAAUGGUUGUAAACCUCUUUUCUCUGGGAAGAUAAUGACGGUACCAGAGGAAUAAGCCUCGGCUAACUCCGUGCCAGCAGCCGCGGUAAUACGGAGGAGGCAAGCGUUAUCCGGAAUUAUUGGGCGUAAAGCGUCCGUAGGUGGUUAAUCUAGUCAGCUGUUAAAGAGCGGAGCUUAACUCCGUUAGAGCGGUUGAAACUGAUUGACUAGAGUUUGGUAGGGGUCGAGGGAAUUCCCAGUGUAGCGGUGAAAUGCGUAGAUAUUGGGAAGAACACCGGUGGCGAAAGCGCUCGACUGGGCCUGAACUGACACUGAGGGACGAAAGCUAGGGGAGCG
Molecule: ribosomal RNA, 377 nt
Filed under: uncultured cyanobacterium
Lineage: Bacteria; Bacillati; Cyanobacteriota
Description: bacterial SSU rRNA
Rfam family: Bacterial small subunit ribosomal RNA
Source: RNAcentral